Molecule: long non-coding RNA, 2786 nt
Filed under: Salmo salar (Atlantic salmon)
Lineage: Eukaryota; Metazoa; Chordata; Actinopteri; Salmoniformes; Salmonidae
Description: lncRNA (ENSSSAG00000097811.1)
Source: RNAcentral
AGUCUAUCCAUAUCUCAAUGCCGUAUUCAGCUGAGAGUGCAGCAGCUGAUGGGAACAGGAUUAGUGCUUUUGGCUCCACACGUUUCAUAUGCUGACGUAACACAGAUCUUUCCACUUGAAUUCAUCUCAAUGUUAACACAUAACAGUCCUGUAACCAUAAACAUUGGCCAGGAAACAUAAAGAACUGUGCGUAUAUGAUCAAUCAAUACAGACUCCUUUGGCUGAGUCUGCACCUUGAUGACAGAUAAGGGCAGAACUAGGAAUAUGUGCAUUUAUCUACAUCAGCUGAGGCUUUGUUGUCUAUCGAACUGCAUGGUUAAAGGGGAAUGGAAACACUUUAGGAAGUUUAUCUAAGCAAAGAGAUGUGUUCAAUACACUAUUACUAAAACAUGUGCAUUUAAAAUAAAAACAUCUCUAUAUUUAGUAUUUUGAUCGUCGAAUAGGUUUAUUUGAGCUAUGGUCAGCGCCAUUUUAAAUUGCUAUAGUAACGACUGACGCCAGUGCAUCACUAGCAGGAAUCAUCAAAUUGUCUGUGGUAUUGAGUUUUCGCCCGGAGAGUGAAUUGAAGAGAGUGAGGUUAGGUGCGGACAACGAAGAUGGCAACAACAAGUAGUAAUUUAAACAUGAACUGUAUAGAGCCAGGCUGUAUGUAUUAGCUCCAAAAAAAAAUCCCUCGGUAAGCUACCAUCGGCUGCCCGAGGACCCACAACUUUUGAAGAAGUGGCUCCAUGUCCUGAAGAGGAAGGACAUGCCAGCUCGAGCUAGCAGGGUCCGCAGACAGCACUUUUUGGAGGCAGACUUCGCAAUGAAGGGCACUUUCGAUGCAGCAACUGGGAGUUUCUGAAUGGAAAGGAGUCAUAGGCCUACGUUGAAGCCCUCUGCUUGCGCCUCCAUUUUACAUUUGGAGGGUUAUCGUGUAGGGGUUACCGACCGACCAUCAUCAACAUCGCUGACUUCGGAGUCAAGCAAAAGCGACUGGACGGAGGAGGCGACGCGAGUCAAUGCAAUGGAGUCUGAGGAUGACAUCUUCAUCCCUGAAAAGGUUUUCAUCCUGGAGGAGACUGUGCAGGAGGCAAAGGAGGAAAGAAUGGUUAGUACAGCAUGCCAAACUGACCCCUGGGUGCCAGACUGUUCCUGUGCUGCGGUGGAGAAGAGGUCCACUGGGACCAUCACUAAAGCGCUCUGGGCCCAGCUAGAUUGAGCCCACGACCAUCAGUAUACAACCGAGUCCGGCCCCUAAACGCCACAGAUGGAGCUGACGGAGAGUGAGAUCAGUGAAGACCAGAACUCACUGUAUGAACCUGCGGGCUCAGAAUCACAAUCAUCACAGUAUGAGCCAAAAUAUACUACCAAUCACUUUGUGGGAGCGGGCUGGUGUUCCGAAAAUGGAAAAGGAACAAGCCAUGGACAGCGAAUUCAAAGAAACAACCAUCCAUAAAGGGAAUCGGAGUGGAAUUGUGUUUCCAAAGAUUUUUUACCCGUUUCAACAGAUGUGCUACCUUGUCCCGGUCCUGCUGUUUCGACUCUCUCUCUCAACCUAUGAAUGCUCAGCGAUGAAAAGCCAACUGACAUUUGCUCCUGAGGUGUUGUUAUAAUUUUGAUGUAAAAACGGCUUUUGUGAAACACAUUUGAUAGAUUGUUUGUUGUGCUGGAUGCUGUGUAUUCACUAACUGUCCUAGUGAUGGGACAUUUAUGUCUGUAACAUAUUUUGGUGUGUAUUUAAUCUGCAUCUUAACUUCUUAAAGUGGCAAUCAGCAGUAGAAACAAUAACAAAGUGUCUCCCUGCUCCUCUUUCGAUAAAAAGCUGAGGGAUGGGGCUGGAGAAAUCUAACCACUCUCAAAUUCAUAGACGGGCCUAUAGAUGCAAGGACUGACCAUCCAUGAUAUCAAAAUUGUAGUCCUGUUUCUAUGACCUGUUUCCAUUACCAUGUACCCAGUUCGCUUUGGAUAAAGGCGUCUGCUAAAUGGCAUCUAUUAUUAAAGUCUGCUUUGGCUCUGCCAACUAGCUGCCCAGUGUAGUUACCAUUACUUUCUAAUAGAUGGCAGCCAAAGCUAGUUGAAGUCACUACUCUAGCGACAGGGACACGGGAUUAGUGGGCGUUGAAAGUAGUUUUAUCUUCAAAGCAAGUUUAUCUGGUUACGCUUAUAUCUGUUGUUAUAGUGGACAAGCUAACUAAUACUAUUUUUACAUUAUUACAGCAGGCUAGAUUUACUAAACAGGUAUUAUUCAAACUCAAACCCUAUGUAAACGCGUUUGCUUCUGGAUAUGUGCGCCUUAUGGAAGAAACAACACACGCAGGUAUGAGACGCCGUACACCUAGUCUAAUUCUCCCUUGUGUCCAUAGGGUGAACUGGCGAUAAACUGCCAGUCUGUAUGCUCUGCAAACAAAAUCAUCAGAAACGUUAUUCUGAUACCGAAGCUAAAUCACAAUGCACUUUCCAUUAUUGGUUAGAAUGAGUUUUCAUGAAUCAUGAUGCUGUCUGCGAUUCCAACUCCGGUCGUCUAAUCUAAAGGUAAAUGUGUUACCAUUGUGCCAAACAGAGCUGGUAAUAAACAUCGUUGUAGGAUACUGAUUAAACAGUUGAAGUUGGAAGUUUAUGUACACCUUAGCCAAAUACAUUUAAACUCCGUUUCACAAUACUCUUAGCGAGUAUUGGCGCAACAAGCGCAUUCCAAGAGGACUGAGAAUACAGAAGGAACCUACAAUAGGGAAAAACGACAAAACUUUCGUUCAUCAAUGGGGUGAUAUACUCAAUAAAUGUUCACUAGAUUUAAUGUUAUUAAU